AUUGAACGCUGGCGGCAGGCCUAACACAUGCAAGUCGAGCGGAUGAAGGGAGCUUGCUCCUGGAUUCAGCGGCGGACGGGUGAGUAAUGCCUAGGAAUCUGCCUGGUAGUGGGGGAUAACGUCCGGAAACGGGCGCUAAUACCGCAUACGUCCUGAGGGAGAAAGUGGGGGAUCUUCGGACCUCACGCUAUCAGAUGAGCCUAGGUCGGAUUAGCUAGUUGGUGGGGUAAAGGCCUACCAAGGCGACGAUCCGUAACUGGUCUGAGAGGAUGAUAAGUCACACUGGAACUGAGACACGGUCCAGACUCCUACGAAAGGCAGCAGUGGGGAAUAUUAGACAAUGGGCGAAAACCUGAUCCAGCCAUGCCGAGUGUGUGAAGAAGGUCUUCGGAUUGUAAAGCACUUUAAGUUGGGAGGAAGGGCAGUAAGUUAAUACCCUGCUGUUUUGACGUUACCAACAGAAUAAGCACCGGCUAACUUCGUG
Molecule: ribosomal RNA, 484 nt
Filed under: uncultured bacterium
Lineage: Bacteria
Description: partial 16S ribosomal RNA
Rfam family: Bacterial small subunit ribosomal RNA
Source: RNAcentral